AUUGAACGCUGGCGGCAGGCCUAACACAUGCAAGUCGAGCGGAUGAAGGGAGCUUGCUCCUGGAUUCAGCGGCGGACGGGUGAGUAAUGCCUAGGAAUCUGCCUGGUAGUGGGGGAUAACGUCCGGAAACGGGCGCUAAUACCGCAUACGUCCUGAGGGAGGAAGUGGGGGAUCUUCGGACCUCACGCUAUCAGAUGAGCCUAGGUCGGAUUAGCCAGUUGGUGGGGUAAAGGCCUACCAAGGCGACGAUCCGUAACUGGUCUGAGAGGAUGAUCAGUCACACUGGAACUGAGACACGGUCCAGACUCCUACGGGAGGCAGCAGUGGGGAAUAUUGGACAAUGGGCGAAAGCCUGAUCCAGCCAUGCCGCGUGUGUGAAGAAGGUCUUCGGAUUGUAAAGCACUUUAAGUUGGGAGGAAGGGCAGUAAGUUAAUACCUUGCUGUUUUGACGUUACCAACAGAAUAAGCACCGGCUAACUUCGUG
Molecule: ribosomal RNA, 484 nt
Filed under: uncultured bacterium
Lineage: Bacteria
Description: partial 16S ribosomal RNA
Rfam family: Bacterial small subunit ribosomal RNA
Source: RNAcentral